This 497-nucleotide ribosomal RNA is filed under the name uncultured bacterium. Its description in RNAcentral is "partial 16S ribosomal RNA". It matches the Rfam family "Bacterial small subunit ribosomal RNA", at positions 28 to 507 of the family's 1533-position model. The record is from RNAcentral.
GAUGAACGCUGGCGGCGUGCCUAAUACAUGCAAGUCGAGCGAACGGACGAGAAGCUUGCUUCUCUGAUGUUAGCGGCGGACGGGUGAGUAACACGUGGAUAACCUACCUAUAAGACUGGGAUAACUUCGGGAAACCGGAGCUAAUACCGGAUGAUAUUUUGAACCGCAUGGUUCAAAAGUGAGAGACGGUCUUGCUGUCACUUAUAGAUGGAUCCGCGCUGCAUUAGCUAGUUGGUAAGGUAACGGCUUACCAAGGCAACGAUGCAUAGCCGACCUGAGAGGGUGAUCGGCCACACUGGAACUGAGACACGGUCCAGACUCCUACGGGAGGCAGCAGUAGGGAAUCUUCCGCAAUGGGCGAAAGCCUGACGGAGCAACGCCGCGUGAGUGAUGAAGGUCUUCGGAUCGUAAAACUCUGUUAUUAGGGAAGAACAUAUGUGUAAGUAACUGUGCACAUCUUGACGGUACCUAAUCAGAAAGCCACGGCUAACUACGUG